This 72-nucleotide transfer RNA is filed under the name Dermacentor silvarum. Its description in RNAcentral is "transfer RNA glutamine (anticodon CUG)". It matches the Rfam family "tRNA". Rfam says of the family: Transfer RNA (tRNA) molecules are approximately 80 nucleotides in length. Their secondary structure includes four short double-helical elements and three loops (D, anti-codon, and T loops). Lineage: Eukaryota; Metazoa; Arthropoda; Arachnida; Ixodida; Ixodidae. The record is from RNAcentral.
GGUCUCAUGGUGUAACGGUUAGCAGUCUGGACUCUGAUUCCAGCGAUCCGAGUUCAAAUCUCGGUGAGACCU